AAAGGCAAAGAGGGUAGAUCAAUAGUAAAAGAAGAUUCACAAUCAAGGGUAAGACCAUGGACAUUAAAAUCAAGAGCAUUUUCGUUAAAUAGGGGAGAGGGGGCACAAUCAAGCAUAUAAGAUUCGUUAUUAAGGGAAUGAACUACAUCACAAGAAGACAUGGCAAAUAAUGAAGAAAAUUUAAACACACCACACUACUUCAAAUCCCUUAUUUUUUUUGACACUAUUAGAUCGACACAGUGUAGUAGGCGUCAAUAUAAAAAUUUAGAUUCCGUAGAUUAUAGGCAGUCGAAGUAAAGUCUCGGGGCGUUUAGAAAUUCAUGUGAUCCACAUAUGACUUCAAUUAAUAAAAGAUAUGCGGCAAAACUUACUUACUGUACACCACUCCCUCAGCGCAAAUAUUCCUCCAUAAACCUAAACCUAAACCUAAUUACAGAGCACUCGUCAUUUUCGCUAGAAUUUCUUCAAUUUGCUAAAUUUGCCUCCCAAAACCUGAUAAAAAUUCAGCAAAGUGGGCUAUAGUUGUGAUCAAUUACAAAUUGGGGGAAAUUUUUUUGAUGAUUUUUCCAGUUACCUAUCUCAAUUCUUUCGAAAAUCUAAACAAUAAAAGGUAUAUUCUUCUCUUUUAAGUUUUAAUACUUGCAAGUUGCAAUUACCCAAUUUUACUUGUUUCAAAACCCUAGGUUAUAGAUCUUGUUGAAUUUCUAUUCUUAAAUUAAAUCUCGUAGUUUCUAGAUAACUUUUUUUAUACAUUAGUAGAUUGCAAAUUUCAUUUGUUUAGCUCUAUUUCAUUACGGUUUGAAAAAAAUUGACAUUGAAAUUUUUCGCUUAUUAGAGUUUUAAAAAAACAUUACUUUUAGAUGUCGAUAAAUAAGGUCUCACAUAAAACAGCUAAUUUAUUUAUAUAUAACCAGAAUUUGACAUGAAUAUUAUCCAUUUAUUAAGCUACGCUCUAAAGUAUUUUCUACUGAUUACUGGUGAAUUUUUGUAGCAUUAGUGACAUAGAGGCGGAUAUGACUAACCUUCAUAGCCUGGGUUCUAUUCAUUCAUGAUGGUUGUACUUUGUGUUUUUAAUCAAUUUAUUGUCAAUUGUCAUUUCUCACUGUUUUGUAAUUGGUGUUACUCAUCUUAAUUUUGUUUUUCUGUAAGCUCUAGCAUUUUAUUAUUGUUAAUUAUUUUAGAAAAAAUUUACUGAUCUUUUUGUUGAAAGAGCCAAUGCCUAUUAAAUCAAGUACAAAUUAGCUUAAGCUCUUGAUAACUUUUUAUGCUUCAUAGCUGAGAAAAAAAGCUUUCUCUAAUUCAUUGGGUUUAAUGUUAAUUUUAUCCUAUUCUUAUCACUCCAUCAGUUAUAGCUUUGUACGUAGUUAGUUCCAUGUUUUAAUAUUAAUAUAAAUAUGAGAGAAAAUGUUCGUUUGAUUGUUGAGUUAUACUCUGAAGUUACAAUGAGCUAGCUUAAAUUGAACUUUGUAACACACCAUUAUAAUUUGUACUCUUCAACUGAUUUUGGAGACUGUUUUGCUAGAGGUAUAUGUUGAAAAAAUUUUGUGUGGGCCUAACCUUUGAGUGUCUGUGUAUAUUUAAUAUAAAGAAUGUCAGUCUAUGUUGUCACUAUUAAAGUUCUGUUUUAUAAUAGAAUGGAUAAUUUAGAAGGAUGUCUAUCUCGGCACAUUUGUCAAUUAGGUAAUUUUAAUUAAUAUUUUGUGUGAAAAGUUUGGUCUUUGAUAUUAAAAGCUGGUUUCAGUAUACUUUUUUUUUUUUUUUUUUUUUUUUUUUUUUUUUUGUUGUCAGGCCUAUUCUCUGCUAAUUCUCUCUUGGGUAAUUGAUGAGUCAUAUUUAUAUAGAGUUUAUAGGCACGUUUAUGCUAGUUUUAUUGUUGCUUUUUGAGUCUUCUGUCGCUUUUUAGGUUGAAAUUGCAUAAGUUGUCCAUUUUGUAUUCUAUUACGCUUCGUUUGUGUUUUCUUAAUGUUUCAGGUAGUUUCUAUAGCUAUUUGAACGCUUUCGGAGUGGUUUUGGAAGAAUCGGACAAUGAAAGGAUGAAAAGUCGAUGAAUUGAGUUUAUUAAUCGAAGAUCUCAUGUUCGUGGAUGUCGACUAUGAGGAUUUUAUGCAUGAGAAAUGAAAAUAGCAUCCACAAUGAUCGUUAUGCACUUUUCGGAAUUGAAUUUGAGUUAGAAACGAAAUUAAACGAUGUUUUACAAAGUGGUAAAACUAACUCUUAUCCACUCUUUUGAUCAUUACUUGAGUUCUACAGAUCGGAUUGAAGUGAUUCAAAUUGCGUUGGAAACUAGAGUUGAAGAGCUUUCCAUUGAUAGGUCACACGCCCCUAUAAGGUACCUAGAACGUGAGAUACGGCCCUUUGAAGUCAAGCUUGCGAAGCUGCCAACCCAUCGCCCAGUCAUCGGGCGAUGGACGUGAUGUACGCUCGAGCGUGGGCUGCUGGUUGGGGCGAUGGUUUUCCAUCGCCCGAUGGUCGAGCGUCUUUCCGACCAUCGGCCACCCAUUGCCUGAUGGGUGGGGUGUGCGCGCAAGCCACAAGAAAUCCUACAUCGAUUAUAACUCUUUCAAUCGACCAAUCAUAUCACGACUAUUGUAAUUGCUAUUUUUCUGAUUUUAUUUUAUUUAUUUAUCUUUAGAUUAGUUUUAGGAUAAUAUAAAUACUCCAAGGGAUUUUAUUUUUCCCUUAUGCUUAUAUAUCUUUUAUUAUUUUUACGUUCUUUUGAGUUUUCUCUUGGACCCUAGUUUCUCAUGGCAUCUCCAUGGAUUCUUCCAUGGAUGAUUCUUGGGUUUACUAUUUUAAUUCAUUGAGGUAUUUUAUUUCUA
Molecule: long non-coding RNA, 2819 nt
Organism: Chenopodium quinoa (quinoa)
Lineage: Eukaryota; Viridiplantae; Streptophyta; Magnoliopsida; Caryophyllales; Amaranthaceae
Exons: 2
Source: RefSeq, a predicted model, not a curated record